CAUAUAUUUUAAAAUAAAAACAUAAAAACAUGAAAACAAAAAUUACAACAAAAAACGAUAAUAAUUUAAAAGAUGCAUCGAAGCUUAAUUGUUAUCUUGAUCACGUCCAAAUUUACGUUACUUUUCUUUUUUUUAAAUAGCAAUCCUCGUGAUUUUUUCCUAUUGGUUAAUACAAGAAAGCGAGGAUAACUUCUUGUUGUAAUCUUAACCGUUGAUGAGUAUAAUCUAAAGGACAUAAACAUUUUGCUUUUUUAAUGGUUUUCCCUCUCUCUUGUUCUCUCUCCAUCUUUUUUAAUGGGGGGGGGAGAGGAUUAAUAUUGUUGAGACCAACGGCUCCACUCAGGGGGUACGGUGAGUCCACUCUGGUGCCUACGGGGACCAACGUCGGCUCCACCCCCGCCACCCCCACCAUUGGUUCCUGCCGUGAGCAACCCCGCCUCACCUACGUGGAGAACACCACCACCCCCACCAUGGGU
Molecule: long non-coding RNA, 476 nt
Filed under: Brassica napus (rape)
Lineage: Eukaryota; Viridiplantae; Streptophyta; Magnoliopsida; Brassicales; Brassicaceae
Description: long non-coding RNA (BNAP_LNC026862)
Source: RNAcentral